Molecule: ribosomal RNA, 301 nt
Filed under: uncultured bacterium
Lineage: Bacteria
Description: partial 16S ribosomal RNA
Rfam family: Bacterial small subunit ribosomal RNA
Source: RNAcentral
CAGCCGCCACGGGAAUACGGAGGGAGCUAGCGUUGUUCGGAAUUACUGGGCGUAAAGCGCACGUAGGCGGUUAUUCAAGUCAGAGGUGAAAGCCCGGGGCUCAACCCCGGAACUGCCUUUGAAACUAGAUGACUGGAAUCUUGGAGAGGUCAGUGGGAUUCCGAGUGUAGAGGUGAAAUUCGUAGAUAUUCGGAAGAACACCAGUGGCGAAGGCGACUGACUGGACAAGUAUUGACGCUGAGGUGCGAAAGCGUGGGGAGCAAACAGGAUUAGAUACCCCUGUAGUCCCUGUCUCUUAUAC